Amphimedon queenslandica is the source of this 569-nucleotide long non-coding RNA. RefSeq lists it as uncharacterized. The record is from RefSeq and is a predicted model, not a curated record. The transcript is spliced from 3 exons. Lineage: Eukaryota; Metazoa; Porifera; Demospongiae; Haplosclerida; Niphatidae.
AGCAUGCGCAGUAAUCAGUCACCUGACAUGACGCUGAGAAUUCAGACAAGAAGCAGCUGCAGCAACUGUUGAUAGUGAUAGAAUCAGGUGUGUGGUCAGCUACUUUACUCAGCUGCUAUAGGCUCACGAGUCAUUUUGAAUCAGUGAAGCAUUGCUUUGACAGAUAUUAGAACAAUGAUAGCAAUCUGUGAGGGAUUGGGAAGGAGAAGUGUGAGAGAAAGUUUAUAGUAUAGAAGACUGACACUGACUGGGACAACUGUGAUGAUCACUGCUUGUGUGUUUCUUUCUUGUGUACUCAAUCUGGCUACUAGCAGCUAUUGGACGUGUGCUGCCAUAAGGCUUAGUUGUUAAUCAUGCUUCAUUUCUUAUCAUACUUUGAUGACACAUUGUCAGCUCUCUUGGCCUCAUACUCUCACUGUCUUUCUUGCUCAUUUAGAGCAAUCAUUAUUGUCUUUCACCCAUUGGAAGUCUGAUGAUUGGCUGUCAGACUUAGCAACAUGUUACUUUAUACACUCUACUGUGCUCUUGAUCUCAGAUGGCUAUUAUUUGUUCUUCAAUCCUACCGGGCC